AUUGAACGCUGGCGGCGUGGCUAAAGCAUGCAAGUCGAGCGAACCCGCAAGGGUGAGCGGCGGACGGGUUAGUAAUACGAUCGAACGUGCCCUGAGGCGGGGGAUAGGCGUGGGAAACUGCGCGUAAUACCCCAUGAUCUCUCCGGAGCAAAGGUUUACCACCUUGGGAUCGGCGAUCGUCCUAUCAGCUAGUUGGCGGGGUAAAGGCCCACCAAGGCUAUGACGGGGUAGCAGGUGNGAGAGCACGACCUGCAACAUCGGGACUGAGACACUGCCCGGACUCCUACGGGAGGCUGCAGCGACGAAUCUUCCGCAAUGGGCGCAAGCCUGACGGAGCGACGCCGCGUGUGGGAUGAAGCGCCUUCGGCGUGUAAACC
This 377-nucleotide ribosomal RNA is filed under the name uncultured bacterium. RNAcentral's name for it is "bacterial SSU rRNA". It matches the Rfam family "Bacterial small subunit ribosomal RNA", at positions 28 to 431 of the family's 1533-position model. The record is from RNAcentral.